Molecule: long non-coding RNA, 491 nt
Organism: Poecilia reticulata (guppy)
Lineage: Eukaryota; Metazoa; Chordata; Actinopteri; Cyprinodontiformes; Poeciliidae
Source: RefSeq, a predicted model, not a curated record
CUCAACUCCAUGUACCUGGUUCUUGCUCCCUGUGAUCUCCCAGUUUUCAAAGAUGGCAGCUUAUGAAGGCUUUUUUCCCACAUCUGAGUUCAUACCCUUGGAGCUGAGGACAGAAUACAUCUUUAAAUGAAGCCUGGAAGGCCCUGGACUCUUUAAAAGGAGAUGGUUUGAGAGCAUUAAUGCAGGGGCCACUAAAGCGGCUCUGCACRUUACUCCACCAUGCCUCACUUUGGAGCAUAUGAAAGGGGCCAGCGUGAUGCAGUGGGGAGAAACAGGGCCUCCUAAGUCAGCAGCAGAGAAUGAAUUAUUAAUGGGUAUAAAUCUCAAACAGAGGGAUGCAGCCGAUACCAACGUCCACUGGCAUAAGGGGCCACAGAGACCUGCACUGUCUCGAUGUAAACUGGUGGCUUCACACAGCUGUCAUCUGAGGACGUUGGAGAUCACUCCAGAGACGAGAGAGCUCAACAGAGAUCAUCAUCAUGUCUACGCCA